GCCGUACUGCGCGCAGCCUGAUCAGCCAUGCCGCGUGAGUGAAGAAGGCCUUCGGGUUGUAAAGCUCUUUCGCUCGGAAAGAAAACUUCCCGACUAAUACUCGGUGAUGUUGACGGUACCUUGAUAAGAAGCACCGGCUAACUACGUGCCAGCAGCCGCGGUAAUGA
This 167-nucleotide ribosomal RNA is filed under the name uncultured ammonia-oxidizing bacterium. RNAcentral's name for it is "partial 16S ribosomal RNA". It matches the Rfam family "Bacterial small subunit ribosomal RNA", at positions 366 to 525 of the family's 1533-position model. The record is from RNAcentral.